Molecule: ribosomal RNA, 252 nt
Filed under: uncultured bacterium
Lineage: Bacteria
Description: partial 16S ribosomal RNA
Rfam family: Bacterial small subunit ribosomal RNA
Source: RNAcentral
CACGGGGGGAGCAAGCGUUGUUCGGAAUCACUGGCGUAAGGCAGGUCUAGGCGGUCAAGUAAGUGGGAUGUGAAAUGCCCCGGCUCACCCGGGGACCGGCAUCCCAUACUGUUUGGCUUGAGUACGGGAGAGGAUGUGGGAAUUCCUGGUGUAGCGGUGAAAUGCGUAGAUAUCGUCUGGAACGCCAAAGGUGAAAACAGACUGCUGGGAGUGUGCUGACGCUGAGACACGAAAGCCAGGGGAGCAAACGGG